GAUGAAGAACGCAGCGAAAUGCGAUACGUAAUGUGAAUUGCAGAAUUCAGUGAAUCAUCGAGUCUUUGAACGCACAUUGCGCCCCCUGGUAUUCCGGGGGGCAUGUCUGUCCGAGCGUCAUUGCUGCCCUCAAGCACGGCUUGUGUGUUGGGCCUCCGUCCUCCUCCCGGGGGACGGGCCCGAAAGGCAGCGGCGGCACCGCGUCCGGUCCUCGAGCGUAUGGGGCUUCGUCACCCGCUCUUGUAGGCCCGGCCGGCGCUUGCCGACACAUCAAUCUUUUUUCCAGGUUGACCUCGGAUCAGGUAGGGAUACCCGCUGAACUUAAGCAUAUCAAUAAGCGGAGGA
Molecule: unclassified non-coding RNA, 345 nt
Filed under: soil metagenome
Description: partial contains 5.8S ribosomal RNA, internal transcribed spacer 2, and large subunit ribosomal RNA
Rfam family: 5.8S ribosomal RNA (bases 1-120)
Source: RNAcentral